RNAcentral lists this ribosomal RNA (550 nucleotides) under uncultured bacterium. Its description in RNAcentral is "bacterial SSU rRNA". It matches the Rfam family "Bacterial small subunit ribosomal RNA", at positions 355 to 896 of the family's 1533-position model. The record is from RNAcentral.
UGGGGAAUAUUGGACAAUGGGCGAAAGCCUGAUCCAGCAAUGCCGCGUGUGUGAAGAAGGCCCUCGGGUUGUAAAGCACUUUUAUCAGGAACGAAAUACCACGGGUUAAUAACCUAUGGGGCUGACGGUACCUGAGGAAUAAGCACCGGCUAACUUCGUGCCAGCAGCCGCGGUAAUACGAAGGGUGCAAGCGUUAAUCGGAAUUACUGGGCGUAAAGGGUGCGUAGGCGGUUGUUUAAGUCUGUCGUGAAAUCCCCGGGCUCAACCUGGGAAUGGCGAUGGAUACUGGGCAGCUAGAGUGUGUCAGAGGAUGGUGGAAUUCCCGGUGUAGCGGUGAAAUGCGUAGAGAUCGGGAGGAACAUCAGUGGCGAAGGCGGCCAUCUGGGACAACACUGACGCUGAAGCACGAAAGCGUGGGGAGCAAACAGGAUUAGAUACCCUGGUAGUCCACGCCCUAAACGAUGCGAACUGGAUGUUGGUCUCAACUCGGAGAUCAGUGUCGAAGCUAACGCGUUAAGUUCGCCGCCUGGGGAGUACGGUCGCAAGACUG